CAGCCGCCGCGGUAAUACCGGCGGCCCGAGUGGCGGCUACUAUUAUUGGGCCUAAAGCGUCCGUAGCCGGGCUGGUAAGUCCUCCGGGAAAUCUGGUCGCUUAACGAUCAGACUUCCGGAGGAUACUGCUGGCCUAGGGACCGGGAGAGGCCGAGGGUAUUCCCGGGGUAGGGGUGAAAUCCUGUAAUCCCGGGAGGACCACCUGUGGCGAAGGCGCUCGGCUGGAACGGGUCCGACGGUGAGGGACGAAGGCCAGGGGAGCGAACCGGAUUAGAUACCCGGGUAGUCCUGGCUGUAAACGAUGCGGACUAGGUGUCGGGCAAGCUAAGGGCUGGUCCGGUGCCGCAGGGAAGCCGUUAAGUCCGCCGCCUGGGGAGUACGGCCGCAAGGCUGAAACUUAAAGGAAUUGGCGGG
This 414-nucleotide ribosomal RNA is filed under the name uncultured microorganism. RNAcentral's name for it is "bacterial SSU rRNA". It matches the Rfam family "Archaeal small subunit ribosomal RNA", at positions 459 to 872 of the family's 1478-position model. The record is from RNAcentral.